AGCCUUGUGGACAAAUAAGAUAAGUCGCUGUGCCUCUCAAGCACGGAGGAGCGGGUGCAACUCCCGUCGAGGCUUCCA
This 78-nucleotide transfer RNA is filed under the name Nostoc sp. PCC 7120 = FACHB-418. RNAcentral's name for it is "tRNA-Glu (CTC) (tRNA-Glu-CTC-1-1)". RNAcentral also lists the same sequence under 6 other names. Lineage: Bacteria; Bacillati; Cyanobacteriota; Cyanophyceae; Nostocales; Nostocaceae. The record is from RNAcentral.